UCCAGAUGUUUCCUCCCUGUGAGGAGGAGUCGAUGCAAAACUCAGAUAUCUUCACCUCUACUUAUCUGAGUGCAGAGAGGAGGACAGAGAACAGUGGACACACAGUUUAACAUGAUGGACUAUAGGACAGGACUGCUGCUGUUAACUAUCUGCUGGGCAGGUGUUUGCAGUCAGACUCUGACUGAGUCUGAACCAGUGGUAAAGCGCCCUGGAGAAUCCCACAAACUGACCUGUACAUAUGCAGGACUAUCAGAUAGCAAUGCUGAUAUCAGCUGGAUCAGACAAGCUGAAGGAAAAGGCCUGGAAUGGGUUGCCCACAUUUCUGCUCCAAGUGGAAGCACUAAAGCUUAUUCAACAUCAGUCCAGAAUCGCUUCACCAUAUCCAGAGACAACAACGUGGACCAGGUGUAUCUGCAGAUGAACAGCCUGACGACUGAAGACUCUGCUGUUUAUUAUUGUGCUCGAGAGCCACAGUGA
This is a non-coding RNA of Perca flavescens (yellow perch), 477 nucleotides long. NCBI's taxonomy places the organism in Eukaryota, Metazoa, Chordata, Actinopteri, Perciformes, Percidae. The record is from the annotation of a RefSeq genome assembly.